AGUGAGGAAUAUUGCACAAUGGAGGAAACUCUGAUGCAGCAACGCCGCGUGGAGGAUGACGCAUUUCGGUGUGUAAACUCCUUUUAUAUGUCAAGAAAAUGACGGUAGCAUAUGAAUAAGCACCGGCUAACUCCGUGCCAGCAGCCGCGGUAAUACGGAGGGUGCAAGCGUUAUUCGGAAUCACUGGGCGUAAAGGACGCGUAGGCGGAUUGGAAAGUCAGAUGUGAAAUCCUACAGCUUAACUGUAGAACUGCAUUUGAAACUUCUAAUCUAGAGUAUGGGAGGGGGAGAUGGAAUUAGUGGUGUAGGGGUAAAAUCCGUAGAUAUCACUAGGAAUACCGAAAGCGAAGGCGAUCUCCUGGAACACUACUGACGCUAAGGCGUGAAAGCGUGGGGAGCAAACGGGAUUAGAUACCCCGGUAGUCCACGCCCUAAACGAUGAACACUAGUCGUCGGGAUGCUAGUCAUCUCGGUGAUGCACUUAACAGAUUAAGUGUUCCGCCUGGGGAGUACGGUCGCAAGAUUAAAACUCAAAGGAAUAGACGGGGACCCGCACAAGUGGUGGAGCAUGUGGUUUAAUUCGAAGAUACGCGAAGAACCUUACCUAGCCUUGACAUUGAUUGAACACUUUAGAGAUAGAGUGGUGCCCUUCGGGGAACAUGAAAACAGGUGCUGCACGGCUGUCGUCAGCUCGUGUCGUGAGAUGUUGGGUUAAGUCCCGCAACGAGCGCAACCCUCGUCCUUAGUUGCCAGCAGGUUAAGCUGGGCACUCUAAGGAGACUGCCUUCGCAAGGAGGAGGAAGGUGAGGACGACGUCAAGUCAUCAUGGCCCUUAUGGCUAGGGCUACACACGUGCUACAAUGGGGCGUACAGAGUGUUGCGAUACCGCGAGGUGGAGCUAAUCACUUAAAGCGUCUCUCAGUUCGGAUUGGAGUCUGCAACUCGACUCCAUGAAGCUGGAAUCACUAGUAAUCGUAGAUCAGCAAUGCUACGGUGAAUACGU
This 1003-nucleotide ribosomal RNA is filed under the name uncultured bacterium. Its description in RNAcentral is "bacterial SSU rRNA". It matches the Rfam family "Bacterial small subunit ribosomal RNA", at positions 353 to 1371 of the family's 1533-position model. The record is from RNAcentral.